Halomonas sp. S2151 is the source of this 1720-nucleotide non-coding RNA. The record is from Rfam. Lineage: Bacteria; Pseudomonadati; Pseudomonadota; Gammaproteobacteria; Oceanospirillales; Halomonadaceae.
GCGGUAGAGGAGCGUCGUGUAAGCCGAUGAAGGUGUGUUGAGAAGCAUGCUGGAGGUAUCACGAGUGCGAAUGCUGACAUGAGUAACGACAAGGGGAGUGAAAAACUCCCCCGCCGGAAGACCAAGGGUUUCUGUUCGACGCUAAUCGGAGCAGAGUGAGUCGGCCCCUAAGGCGAGGCCGAAAGGCGUAGUCGAUGGGAAACGGGUCAAUAUUCCCGUACCUCACAGUAUUGCGAUGGGGGGACGAAGAAGGCUAGGUGAGCCAGGCGUUGGUUGUCCUGGUGAAAGCCGGUAGGCUGAGGAUUCAGGUAAAUCCGGAUCCUUAAGGCCGAGAGGCGAGACGAACUGACUACGGUCAGGAAGUCAUCGAUGCCACGCUUCCAGGAAAAGCCUCUAAGCUUCAGAUACUGUGAGACCGUACCCCAAACCGACACAGGUGGUCAGGUAGAGAAUACCAAGGCGCUUGAGAGAACUCGGGUGAAGGAACUAGGCAAAAUGGUGCCGUAACUUCGGGAGAAGGCACGCCGCAUUAGGGUGAAGGUCCUCGCGACCGGAGCCUGACGCGGUCGAAGAUACCAGGUGGCUGCAACUGUUUAUUAAAAACACAGCACUCUGCAAACGCGCAAGCGGACGUAUAGGGUGUGACGCCUGCCCGGUGCCGGAAGGUUAAGUGAUGGUGUUAGCUCACGCGAAGCUCCUGAUCGAAGCCCCGGUAAACGGCGGCCGUAACUAUAACGGUCCUAAGGUAGCGAAAUUCCUUGUCGGGUAAGUUCCGACCUGCACGAAUGGCGUAAUGAUGGCCACGCUGUCUCCACCCGAGACUCAGUGAAAUUGAAAUCGCAGUGAAGAUGCUGUGUACCCGCGGCUAGACGGAAAGACCCCGUGAACCUUUACUACAGCUUCACACUGGACGCUGAUGUUGCUUGUGUAGGAUAGCUGGGAGGCUUUGAAACCCUGUCGCCAGAUGGGGUGGAGCCAACCUUGAAAUACCAGCCUGGCAUCAUUGGCGUUCUAACUCAGGACCGUAAUCCGGUUCGAGGACCGUGUGUGGUGGGUAGUUUGACUGGGGCGGUCUCCUCCCAAAGAGUAACGGAGGAGCACGAAGGUACCCUCAGCACGGUUGGAAAUCGUGCAGUGAGUGCAAGAGCAUAAGGGUGCUUAACUGCGAGACAGACACGUCGAGCAGAUACGAAAGUAGGUUCUAGUGAUCCGGUGGUUCUGUAUGGAAGGGCCAUCGCUCAACGGAUAAAAGGUACUCCGGGGAUAACAGGCUGAUACCGCCCAAGAGUUCACAUCGACGGCGGUGUUUGGCACCUCGAUGUCGGCUCAUCACAUCCUGGGGCUGAAGUCGGUCCCAAGGGUAUGGCUGUUCGCCAUUUAAAGUGGUACGCGAGCUGGGUUUAGAACGUCGUGAGACAGUUCGGUCCCUAUCUGCCGUGGGCGUUGGAGAUUUGAGAAGCGCUGCUCCUAGUACGAGAGGACCGGAGUGGACGUACCUCUGGUGUUCCGGUUGUCACGCCAGUGGCAUUGCCGGGUAGCUAUGUACGGACGGGAUAACCGCUGAAAGCAUCUAAGCGGGAAGCCCCCUUCAAGAUGAGAUCUCCCUGAGGCCUUGAGCCUCCUAAAGGACCCAGCAAGACCAGCUGGUUGAUAGGCCGGGUGUGGAAGCGCUGCAAGGCGUUGAGCUAACCGGUACUAAUGGUCCGUGAGGCUUGACCAU